This 200-nucleotide ribosomal RNA is filed under the name uncultured bacterium. RNAcentral's name for it is "partial 16S ribosomal RNA". It matches the Rfam family "Bacterial small subunit ribosomal RNA", at positions 29 to 256 of the family's 1533-position model. The record is from RNAcentral.
AAUGAACGCUGGCGGCAUGCCUAACACAUGCAAGUCGAACGAAGCCUUCGGGCUUAGUGGCGCACGGGUGCGUAACGCGUGGGAAUCUGCCCUUGGGUUCGGAAUAACUCAGAGAAAUUUGAGCUAAUACCGGAUGAUGACGUAAGUCCAAAGAUUUAUCGCCCAAGGAUGAGCCCGCGUAGGAUUAGCUAGUUGGUGAG